Molecule: ribosomal RNA, 114 nt
Filed under: Acanthosepion pharaonis
Lineage: Eukaryota; Metazoa; Mollusca; Cephalopoda; Sepiida; Sepiidae
Source: RNAcentral
UUACGGUCAAAUCACACUGAAACACCGGUUCUCGUUCGAUCACCGAAGUUAAGCAUCGUAGAGCCAGGUCAGUACUUAGAUGGGGGACCGCUUGGGAACACCUGGUACUGUAAG